Molecule: long non-coding RNA, 551 nt
Organism: Grammomys surdaster
Lineage: Eukaryota; Metazoa; Chordata; Mammalia; Rodentia; Muridae
Exons: 2
Source: RefSeq, a predicted model, not a curated record
GUGACCUCCUGGGCCCUUCUUUUGCAGGUGUUUCAGCUCUUCUCUGCUGUCCUAAAGUACUUUCCUGGCACGCACAGACAAAUCGCCAAAAACUUCCAGGAAAUCCUUGACUACAUUGGCCAUAGUGUGGAGCAGCACAGGGCCACCUUGGACCCCAGCACUCCACGAGACUUCAUUGAUACCUACCUUCUGCGCAUGGAGAAGGAGAAGUCCAACCACCACACAGAGUUCCAUCACCAGAACCUCAUGAUGUCUGUGCUCUCUCUCUUCUUUGCUGGAACUGAGACCAGUAGCACCACGCUCCGCUAUGGCUUCCUGUUCAUGCUCAAGUACCCCCACGUUGCAGGUGCACCAUGGGUGGACAGUUGGAGGAUUUUCUAUCUACCUUUGGAUGUGGGAAUUUGAGUGGAUGAGAGCCACAUGGACAUCUGGAACUCUAAUUGCUUUGUUCAACUUGUAAACUAAGGCAGUGCUGUGGGUGGAAUGUGAGCGAACACUCAGCUGACCCGUUUUCUGUUGUCUCUAUUAAAGGUUGAUCCUUCCCUUCCUUC